Molecule: ribosomal RNA, 573 nt
Filed under: uncultured bacterium
Lineage: Bacteria
Description: partial 16S ribosomal RNA
Rfam family: Bacterial small subunit ribosomal RNA
Source: RNAcentral
UAGGGAAUAUUGGACAAUGGGCGCAAGCCUGAUCCAGCCAUGCCGCGUGAGUGAAGAAGGCCCUCGGGUUGUAAAGCUCUUUUGUCCGGAAAGAAAAGCAUCGGGCUAAUACCCUGGUGUUCUGACGGUACCGGAAGAAUAAGCACCGGCUAACUUCGUGCCAGCAGCCGCGGUAAUACGAAGGGUGCAAGCGUUACUCGGAAUUACUGGGCGUAAAGCGUGCGUAGGUGGUUUGUUAAGUCUGAUGUGAAAGCCCUGGGCUCAACCUGGGAAUGGCAUUGGAAACUGGCGGACUCGAGUGCGGUAGAGGGGUGUGGAAUUCCCGGUGUAGCAGUGAAAUGCGUAGAGAUCGGGAGGAACACCAGUGGCGAAGGCGACACCUGGACAGCACUGACACUGAGGCACGAAAGCGUGGGGAGCAAACAGGAUUAGAUACCCUGGUAGUCCACGCCCUAAACGAUGCGACUGGAUGUUGGUGCAACUUGGCACUCAGUAUCGAAGCUAACGCGUUAAGUUCGCCGCCUGGGGAGUACGGUCGCAAGACUGAAACUCAAAUGAAUUGACGGGGUCAUA